Molecule: ribosomal RNA, 301 nt
Filed under: uncultured bacterium
Lineage: Bacteria
Description: partial 16S ribosomal RNA
Rfam family: Bacterial small subunit ribosomal RNA
Source: RNAcentral
CAUAGCCGCGGGAAUACGUAGGUGGCAAGCGUUGUCCGGAAUUAUUGGGCGUAAAGGGCUCGCAGGCGGUUUCUUAAGUCUGAUGUGAAAGCCCCCGGCUCAACCGGGGAGGGUCAUUGGAAACUGGGAAACUUGAGUGCAGAAGAGGAGAGUGGAAUUCCACGUGUAGCGGUGAAAUGCGUAGAGAUGUGGAGGAACACCAGUGGCGAAGGCGACUCUCUGGUCUGUAACUGACGCUGAGGAGCGAAAGCGUGGGGAGCGAACAGGAUUAGAUACCCCUGUAGUCCCUGUCUCUUAUACA